AAAUGUUUUUUUUCUCUGCCUAUGUGAUUAUUAAGUGAUAUUCACCACUGGCUUAGUUAAAUGUGUCUAGUGAUUUACAGCUAAUAAGAUACUUUAAGGAAAUUCCAGGGUAAACUUUCAUUCUGCCAGGGGGAAAGCAAAACUGACAAGUAGAGGGAAAGUAACUCCAGCAGUCAGAAAGACAGACAGACAGACAAGUGGGAAGAGCUGAGAAAGCUCAGCCGGGGGACUAACCCCAGGAGCAAUACCUGCAUGCUAAUAACUCACAGCCCCUUGCUAAAGAGGUUGGCUCGGUAGCUACUGCCUAAACUAGGUGAAAAGAUAGGUACUAUAAGUAAAUUACUUGGUUAUGCUAUCUCCUCAGUGCUUCCCAGAGCCUAAAUUAAGAGCAGGAAGCCAGUCAAUAGUGCAUCCCUCCAAAAUGCCUCCCCACACACUUCAGGUGACCUAAGAGGGUCCGUGCUGGCACCAGCACAGGAGGCUGCAGUCAGGAUGUGGGGGGUGUUGCCACCUGAGCAAUCCCAUAUCUCCCAGGUCCUCACCAGUUCUACACAGCAACAGAUCAUACCAAUGGUUACGUAAAGCUUUUACAGAUUCACUCUCAGGGAUGGUUUUUUGAGCUGUUUUUCUUUAGGGGCUCCUGUUUGUACCUCCUGAUUACUGACCAGCUGUAGCUCCACCAUUUUCAUGACAAGAAACCUGCGUUUGCAGCCCUCUAAGAAGAUAUGACCCUGCCUUUCCAAGCACUAGGACUUGCAACUGAAAGGAGACGUCCCUAACCCAAAAUCAGGUCUCAGGAUGCAUCAAUGACAGACUGGCAUUACCCUAAAGUGCUGGAGGCUUAUUUGAUCACUUUGAGAAGUUUCUCCCACGCCUGCAAGUAGCAGGAAGAAGGCUGUGACAUCAGAAACUUUAAAGAGAGACCUUCCCCAUUCUCCAAGGAUCCAGGGACCCCAGUCUGAAAAACAGAGUCCAGAUGAUCUCUGUGAUGUUGCUCAAUUUCUACUAUUUCAAUGUUAAUGUAUAAGCCUAUCUACUGGACUGGACUUUCACAGUAGUUAUUAAUUUACCUUUUACUUAUUUAUGUAAAAAAAGGGCUAAUGACACUUUCUGAAAUAAUGCUUUGCAAACUUACCCUGUGACUAAGGAACAACAAAAGAUACUUGGUUUAGGGACUAGUAACUAGUUGCAUGUCCAUGCUUUUCUAUAUAAGUCUCAAGUGUCUUUUUUUAUUUGUCUGUGAAGCUUCAUAGGGUUUGAUCUUGCUCAGAUUUGACACUCUGGCUUUAUUGAACUCAUCGAGUGCUUUAUAAAUGCUCAUUAUCUUCAGUAGUUAGGUUUUGUUUCAUUUUGAGCAACAUGGCAGAAUAUAUCCUGAAGAAAAAACUGUCAAAGUUUUUGAAGUUUUACAGCCAAUAUAGCAAGUAUGAUACUGAAUCGAUAAUUCCCAAGUUACCAGUUAUAUGUGAGACUAUCAACACUUUAUCACUAAAUAGUAAAAAUCCAGAAAUACGAAAAUCUCAUUAAUUUAUAGUUGGAAAAUUUUCCAUUUUGCACCUCACAUGCACUGCAGAUCUUGUUCAGCCUGACAAUUUCAUCACAUUAACUCCACUAAUAUUCUAUAUUUUAAAAGCUUUCUGGAAAAGUAAAUCAGCAUCUGAAAUGUGGGUGGUUACACCACUCAUUUUUUUUUCAGCAUAACAGAAAUUGAAGCAACCUAUUUCAAUUUUCUCUGCCCUAGAUUCAGGAAAUGAUGCAAGUUAAUUUCUGUUCAUAUUCAGAAAUAUGAUACCUUGGAAAAGGAUAUUUUCUAGACCUGACCUGAUUACUUACAUCUGGCUCAAAAUACAGGUCUUUCCAGGCACUUCACUACAGAGGGAAAACUGCAAGUGCAGAAUCUGAAACUUCCACACGUCCUUAACGAGGAUAAAACUGGAAAAAAAAAAAACCUACUUCCAAGGUCAGUAUUAACCUAAUGCUUCUGCAGUCAGACUGUAUGGCCUGUGUGUGAGGGAAAAAUGUAGAUGAUGCUCCCUGUUGUGGUGGGACCAGAGCAGGUAGGUGUAAUAGUAAACCAGAAGCAUGAUGCUUUUUCCAGUCUGCUGUCAGGGGUAGUUUCAGAAGGGAGUGGGGCUGGCUGGCAUGAACACCUUGUCCAUUGGCCCGUGCUGCCUCCCAGUGGGCAUCAACUUCUUUUUCGGGGGAAAAGGAAGGGUUUUUUUAAAUGCCCAGUACAGAAACCACUGCCCUCAGACAACUAAUGGGGGAAUUCACUGAUGGCGGCACUUCCGCUGUCUAAAACCAAACUCUUGGGUUUUGUACAGUGUACAGCACUCUGUGAUGAUCUUGGAUGCACGGUUCAUCCAUGGGUUUCUGCAGAACAUAAGCCUGCAUUUAAAAGCAGACAAAAAACACAAACAAACAAACAAACAAGGUUUCUGCAGGCAACUUUACAAAUGUGAAUUCACAUCGUAUUGACUCACACGCAGAAGGCUCUGUCCCUGUCACUCUCAGCUUUGACAAGCAGCAGCAGAGUGGUAUCACAUCACUUGAAUGUAGCCAGUUUUACAGAGCCCUCUGUGCAGUGCUAAAGGUAACUUAUUUUUUCUUCUCACUCUCUUUGAAUGUGCUCACAGCCCCCACAAUGAAAAGGGAUCCCAAAAAUGGACAAUUAAACGGGAGGAAAGAGCACCUUUUGCCACAGUAAGGUCUCCAUAAGGCAGUGAAAAGUUGUAAGGAACACUUCCAUACCUUUUCGACAGCCUACAAAGCUUCACGGUUUGUAGCCCCAACCUGCCCUUUCCUACUCGGCUUGCUAAGCCAAGGGGUCUGCUUAGAGCCAGGCACCUCAACCCUAUGCUUUUCCUAGCUAAAAAAAAAAAACAAUCCCUCCCAGGCUUGUGCUGUUAUCUACCUGGGAACAGUCACAUAAACUUUUGUGUUGGGUUGUUUGUGGGGUUAUUGCAACCUAAAACAGGGGAGGGGCUUUGGGGAAAACACCUCUGGGGACCCCCCUGGGGAAGUCACAGGGCUUUGCAAACACUCCUAAGGAUUAGAGCUGUUGCCCAUGCUUUGAACAAUGUGUUUUUCUAAGUCUUGAGCUGUGCUCUUAAAGAAUGGGAGGGGGGAGGGAGGUGGCAGAUCAUACAGGGCUAUAGCACAAGUUAUAUGAAUAAACAAAGACUUCUGUAUCCAGGUGUGUCCAACUACAAAAGUCAUUUAGGUAUGGGUUGGGGGUUUCUUUUCCUCCAAAGUGAUCCUGUUCAGAGUGUAAUAUACUGUUUUAUUUCUACAGGGCUUAUCAUUGAAGUUAACGCUUAGGAUCCUUGGAUGUGAUAUCCUCACAGUGCACACAAGAAAUAGAUCUGAAAAACAUCAAAGCAAGCGGAUAGCACUGAAUACACAGAAAAAGCAAAAGUAUUACACUGGAAGUACUGUUCUUGCAUCACUCUGCUUUGUGAAGAGCUCACAUUAUCGGGUUUGCAUGCGUGUGUGCACGUGCGAGACUCCUUCAAAGGAGGAAACAGGAUGCCUAACUUUUAGUGCAGAAAAUUAGUAACAAACUACGUGCAAGAUAAGGGCCGAUAACAUCUCUGUAAUCUCGUACUUAAUCUGCUACCCUCAAGAAAAAUCUAUUGACUUUUCGGUGUUAGUCUGCCCAGGCUGCAAACAAUAACUAAUGGGCCUGUGUUACCCUGUGACAAGCACUGGA
Long non-coding RNA from Pezoporus occidentalis (night parrot), 3712 nucleotides. RefSeq lists it as uncharacterized. NCBI's taxonomy places the organism in Eukaryota, Metazoa, Chordata, Aves, Psittaciformes, Psittacidae. The record is from RefSeq and is a predicted model, not a curated record. The transcript has 4 exons.